AGUGAACGCUGGCGGUAGGCCUAACACAUGCAAGUCGAACGGCAGCACAGUAAGAGCUUGCUCUUACGGGUGGCGAGUGGCGGACGGGUGAGGAAUACAUCGGAAUCUACUUUUUCGUGGGGGAUAACGUAGGGAAACUUACGCUAAUACCGCAUACGACCUACGGGUGAAAGCAGGGGAUCUUCGGACCUUGCGCGAUUGAAUGAGCCGAUGUCGGAUUAGCUAGUUGGCGGGGUAAAGGCCCACCAAGGCGACGAUCCGUAGCUGGUCUGAGAGGAUGAUCAGCCACACUGGAACUGAGACACGGUCCAGACUCCUACGGGAGGCAGCAGUGGGGAAUAUUGGACAAAGGGCGCAAGCCUGAUCCAGCCAUACCGCGUGGGUGAAGAAGGCCUUCGGGUUGUAAAGCCCUUUUGUUGGGAAAGAAAUGCAGCCGGCUAAUACCUGGUUGGGAUGACGGUACCCAAAGAAUAAGCACCGGCUAACUUCGUG
RNAcentral lists this ribosomal RNA (492 nucleotides) under uncultured bacterium. RNAcentral describes it as "partial 16S ribosomal RNA". It matches the Rfam family "Bacterial small subunit ribosomal RNA", at positions 29 to 507 of the family's 1533-position model. The record is from RNAcentral.